AUGAGAUUUCCCAUAACUUUAUGUUAGUAAGAGCCCUGAGAGAUGAUCAGGUAGAUAGGUUGGAAGUGGAAGUGUGGCGACACAUGUAGCGGACCAAUACUAAUCGCUCGAGGACUUAUCCAAAUU
RNAcentral lists this ribosomal RNA (126 nucleotides) under Streptococcus suis. Its description in RNAcentral is "partial 23S ribosomal RNA". It matches the Rfam family "Bacterial large subunit ribosomal RNA", at positions 2804 to 2925 of the family's 2925-position model. The record is from RNAcentral. Lineage: Bacteria; Bacillati; Bacillota; Bacilli; Lactobacillales; Streptococcaceae.